GUCCACGCCCUAAACGAUGAUCACUAGUUGUUCGGAAAGGUGACUUUCUGAGUAACGUAGCUAACGCGUGAAGUGAUCCGCCUGGGGAGUACGGUCGCAAGAUUAAAACUCAAAGGAAUUGACGGGGACCCGCACAAGCGGUGGAUGAUGUGGAUUAAUUCGAUGCAACGCGAAAAACCUUACCUACCCUUGACAUGCCUGGAAGAUCGCAGAGAUGUGAUUGUGCCUUCGGGAACCAGGACACAGGUGCUGCAUGGCUGUCGU
Molecule: ribosomal RNA, 264 nt
Filed under: uncultured bacterium
Lineage: Bacteria
Description: partial 16S ribosomal RNA
Rfam family: Bacterial small subunit ribosomal RNA
Source: RNAcentral